This 464-nucleotide ribosomal RNA is filed under the name uncultured bacterium. Its description in RNAcentral is "SSU rRNA". It matches the Rfam family "Bacterial small subunit ribosomal RNA", at positions 26 to 518 of the family's 1533-position model. The record is from RNAcentral.
AGCCUGAACGCUGGCGGCGUGGCUAAGACAUGCAAGUCGUACGGGUGUAGCAAUACACCAGUGGCGGACGGGUGAGUAAUGUAUCGCUAACGUACCCCAGGUUCUGGGAUAGCUGCCCGAAAGGGCAGGUAAUACCAGAUGACAUAUCCUUGUCGCAUGGCGAGGAUCUCAAAGGGAAACCGUCCUGGGGAGCGGGCGAUAUCGUAUCAGCUAGUUGGUAGGGUAACGGCCUACCAAGGCGACGACGCGUAGCCGGACUGAGAGGUUGGCCGGCCACAUUGGGACUGAGACACUGCCCAGACUCCUACGGGGGCUGCAGUAACGAAUCUUCCGCAAUGCACGAAAGUGUGACGGAGCGACGCCGCGUGUGGGACGAAGUCCUUCGGGAUGUAAACCACUGUCAGGGGUUAGAAAGUUCUGAUCAACCCAGAGGAAGGCACGGCUAACUCUGUGCCAGCAGCCGC